Molecule: ribosomal RNA, 428 nt
Filed under: uncultured bacterium
Lineage: Bacteria
Description: bacterial SSU rRNA
Rfam family: Bacterial small subunit ribosomal RNA
Source: RNAcentral
AUUGAACGCUGGCGGAAUGCUUUACACAUGCAAGUCGAGCGGCAGCGCGGGGGCAACCCUGGCGGCGAGCGGCGAACGGGUGAGUAACAUAUCGGAACGUACCCCGUCGUGGGGGAUAACACAGCGAAAGCUGUGCUAAUACCGCAUACGACCUGAGGGUGAAAGCGGGGGAUCGCAAGACCUCGCGCGAUGGGAGCGGCCGAUAUCGGAUUAGCUUGUUGGUGAGGUAAAGGCUCACCAAGGCGACGAUCCGUAGCUGGUCUGAGAGGACGACCAGCCACACUGGAACUGAGACACGGUCCAGACUCCUACGGGAGGCAGCAGUGGGGAAUUUUGGGACAAUGGGGGCAACCCUGAUCCAACCAUUCCGCGUGAGUGAAGAAGGCCUUCGGGUUGUAAGGUACUCUUCUAGCAGGAACGAAACGGUA